UACGUAGGGUGCGAGCGUUAAUCGGAAUUACUGGGCGUAAAGUGUGCGCAGGCGGCCGCGCAAGUCGAGUGUGAAAUCCCCGAGCUUAACUUGGGAAUUGCGCUCGAAACUACGUGGCUGGAGUGUGGCAGAGGAAGGUGGAAUUCCACGUGUAGCGGUGAAAUGCGUAGAUAUGUGGAGGAACACCGAUGGCGAAGGCAGCCUUCUGGGCCAACACUGACGCUCAUGCACGAAAGCGUGGGGAGCGAACAGG
This 253-nucleotide ribosomal RNA is filed under the name uncultured bacterium. RNAcentral describes it as "partial 16S ribosomal RNA". It matches the Rfam family "Bacterial small subunit ribosomal RNA", at positions 524 to 776 of the family's 1533-position model. The record is from RNAcentral.